ACUCCUACGGGAGGCAGCAGUGGGGAAUCUUGGACAAUGGGCGCAAGCCUGAUCCAGCCAUGCCGCGUGAGUGAUGAAGGCCCUAGGGUCGUAAAGCUCUUUCGCCAGGGAUGAUAAUGACAGUACCUGGUAAAGAAACCCCGGCUAACUCCGUGCCAGCAGCCGCGGUAAUACGGAGGGGGUUAGCGUUGUUCGGAAUUACUGGGCGUAAAGCGCACGUAGGCGGAUCGGAAAGUUGGGGGUGAAAUCCCGGGGGCUCAACCCCGGAACUGCCUCCAAAACUAUCGGUCUAGAGUUCGAGAGAGGUGAGUGGAAUUCCGAGUGUAGAGGUGAAAUUCGUAGAUAUUCGGAGGAACACCAGUGGCGAAGGCGGCUCACUGGCCUGUAA
RNAcentral lists this ribosomal RNA (388 nucleotides) under uncultured bacterium. RNAcentral describes it as "bacterial SSU rRNA". It matches the Rfam family "Bacterial small subunit ribosomal RNA", at positions 335 to 739 of the family's 1533-position model. The record is from RNAcentral.